GGGUGCUUGAGGCUGUCUGCCUUAAGCGCUUGCUGACAGGUAGAUAGAUAAAAGCCCCACCCGACUAUAAAUCGAAGUGAGGCCCCUAUAUGCUCGUCACAUAUAGAUUGCCUCUUACGGACCGAAAGGUCAAGGAGAAGCAGGCUAUG
RNAcentral lists this antisense RNA (149 nucleotides) under Salmonella enterica subsp. enterica serovar Saintpaul str. SARA29. Its description in RNAcentral is "sok antitoxin (CssrC)". It matches the Rfam family "sok antitoxin (CssrC)". From Rfam's summary of the family: Also identified in Shigella as CssrC. Lineage: Bacteria; Pseudomonadati; Pseudomonadota; Gammaproteobacteria; Enterobacterales; Enterobacteriaceae. The record is from Rfam by way of RNAcentral.